Molecule: long non-coding RNA, 1968 nt
Filed under: Venturia canescens
Lineage: Eukaryota; Metazoa; Arthropoda; Insecta; Hymenoptera; Ichneumonidae
Description: uncharacterized LOC122413429
Source: RNAcentral
UCUCUGUCGUCUGGGCGCGAUACAUAUUCCAUGCGCUCUCGAUUACAUUACAAAAGUACUUUUGUAACCCGAUUCGCAACGAGUGCUCUGGAGCGGAUGGUAAAAGAGGAGGAGAAAAAUGAAGCGGAAUGGGAGUAGAGAAGAGUGGAUGCAUGAGAAAAAGUGAAUAAAAUGAAAGAAAAAAAAAGUGAAAAAGCGCGUCGAAGCUGGUUAAACUCGUUAUUGGCGUCACAAGAGGCAGGACAACGCGAUAUACACAUAUAUAUAUUUACAUCUCUUAGCUCCCGCGAGUGUGCGUUAUACGUGUGUGGCGUCGCGUCGUCGGUCUCGAAAUAUCCAGCCGACCUGCUGAUCGAAGGAGACGCCAAGCUCUGUUCAAUACACACGAAAAUUCCCAUGUGCACACAUUCCCAUCGGUUCAUGUACGCGAAUAAACAACCUUAAGGAGCAAAAUCAACGGGGCACGUUUCCCCGGGUAGACCCCUUAAACGGACUCCCAAAAUCGCGCGCUUUCGCAUUCGCGGCCGCCCGUUUCGGCGAUCAAGGUCGAGACUCGCUCUCCCCGCGCCUCUCGCGUGGCCUAGAGUCGUUCUCCCGGUUUAUCAUCGCAUAUCUACAGGUACACCGGUAUCCUGUAUAUACAGCGUACCACGAAAACAUCUUUGCCCGGAGCUGCCACCUCCGUGCCCGUACACCGGACUCCAUUAACAUCCCAACUUUCACUUUGCCGAAGGAAAACACCCGUUUGGUGGUAGUUGCUUUCGUCGCUUAGCCCUGCAUCGAUGACGUCUCGUGUGUUGGGCUUUUUGCCCAAAUUUCGGUCCCAAGUUCAAGGUCUCAGGGGCAUGACCGAAGGCUCGAAAAAAAGGCUCGAUUCGUUGGCGAAUGCCCGGACAGUGGAAUGCGAUAUCGAGGCGUUUUUGUCUAUGCAAAGUGCGCGGAGAAAUCGUCUGGGGAGGAGCGGAUUGCGGGGAACGCAAGACUCGGCGAGUCGCCCGGCGGCGGCUAGUCGAGAGUCGUAAAGAUGAUAACAGCCUGGACGUGUAUUGAUAAUUCUCAUAAGCAGGCUCUUUCGUAACGGACUCUUGUCUAAGAUUGCAAGAAAGGCGGUAUUAAGAUCGCAGACUUUCGACGCUACGAAAAAUCCUCGGACUAUCAGCCAAUUUCUCCGUUUUUUAUGGCCCAAUAAUUCUCCGCGUGCGUUUAGUUAUCGAAUAGCAUUCGUUGCUCAACGUUGCGAGUCGAGAUCCGGUGCUCGGCCAGUGAGAAAAGGAGCAACGCGGAGGAUCGUUACGUCUGAACGGUGCGAUGUUGAGCGGCGGUUUUAAACGCCGCGAUAAUCCGUCAGGAACUCGCUUCCUGUUCUCUCCUUCAUAGGCUCGAUCGAUCAAAACUUUUGUGCGAGAAUUCAGGGACCAUCGUCGUACUCCCGAUCCUGAAAGCUGGCAACGAAUCCGCCGAAAUGAGCGAAAUUUUUUUUCCAAUUCCUCAACCAUUUUCCCCGAACAAAUGAAUGAAUUUUAAUUAAAUUUAACCCUUAAUAGACACACGGGGUAUAUUGAAGCCGAGCCGUUUUUCGACCGACGAUACCAAAUAGAAAUAUCGAGAAAAUGGGACUUGCGGUGCCCUCGGUCGAUCGUUCGAACCUUUGAGAAGAGAGCCUCAUCGUUAUUAUUUGAAAGGGCCCGUUAGUUUAGUUUUGGUAGUCGAUCAAGUCAGACCGUGCGAAGAUCCGGGGUCCGAUCCACCCCAGCGUGACAAAUUUAACUAAUAUUACCUGAAAGCGUGAUUUCUCAGGUUUAUAGAAAGAGCUGAUUUUUUUUUUUAAUUUGAAAAUUACGACUUCUACAUCAAUUUUUGUGAAAAAAGUCUCUUUUCCUGCAUUCUUUUCUUUGACAUUUUUUUUAACAUUAAAAAUAACACGAAUAGAAUAAAAUCGUUAUGGUCGUUUCUUGAAGGUUCAAAAUA